UACGUAGGGGGCUAGCGUUGUCCGGAAUCAUUGGGCGUAAAGAGCGUGUAGGCGGUCCGGUAAGUCCGCUGUGAAAGUCGGGGGCUCAACCCUCGAAUGCCGGUGGAUACUGUCGGGCUUGAGUCCGGAAGAGGCGAGUGGAAUUCCUGGUGUAGCGGUGAAAUGCGCAGAUAUCAGGAGGAACACCAAUGGCGAAGGCAGCUCGCUGGGACGUGACUGACGCUGAGACGCGAAAGCGUGGGGAGCAAACAGG
Molecule: ribosomal RNA, 253 nt
Filed under: uncultured bacterium
Lineage: Bacteria
Description: partial 16S ribosomal RNA
Rfam family: Bacterial small subunit ribosomal RNA
Source: RNAcentral